UACGUAGGGGGCUAGCGUUGUCCGGAAUCAUUGGGCGUAAAGCGCGCGUAGGCGGCCCGGUAAGUCCGCUCUGAAAGUCCAGGGCUCAACCCUGGAAAGCGGGUGGAUACUGCCGGGCUAGAAUCCGGAAGAGGCGAGUGGAAUUCCUGGUGUAGCGGUGGAAUGCGCAGAUAUCAGGAGGAACACCGGUGGCGAAGGCGGAUCUCUGGGCCUUACCUGACGCUCAGGCACGAAAGCUAGGGGAGCGAACAGG
This 253-nucleotide ribosomal RNA is filed under the name uncultured bacterium. RNAcentral describes it as "partial 16S ribosomal RNA". It matches the Rfam family "Bacterial small subunit ribosomal RNA", at positions 524 to 776 of the family's 1533-position model. The record is from RNAcentral.